RNAcentral lists this ribosomal RNA (1698 nucleotides) under Diacronema lutheri. RNAcentral's name for it is "partial Bacterial large subunit ribosomal RNA". It matches the Rfam family "Bacterial large subunit ribosomal RNA", at positions 1 to 1756 of the family's 2925-position model. Lineage: Eukaryota; Haptophyta; Pavlovophyceae; Pavlovales; Pavlovaceae. The record is from RNAcentral.
GUCAAGUGACGAAGCGUACACGGUGGAUGCCUAGGCAACUGGAGGCGAUGAAAGACGUUGUAGCCUGCGAAAAGGCUCGGGGAGGUGGCAAACGACCUUUGAUCCGAGCAUCUCUGAAUGGGGAAACCCACCUGUCUUAAGGCAGGUAUCCCGCACUGAAUACAUAGGUGCGGGAGGCGAACGCGGGGAACUGAAACAUCUAAGUACCCGUAGGAAAAGACAUCAAACGAGAUUCCCCAAGUAGCGGCGAGCGAACGGGGAUUAGCCCUUAAGCACUGGGCCGGUUAGUGGAAUGACCUGGAAAGGUCAGCCGUAGUGGGUGAUAGCCCCGUACACGAAAACCCAACAGUGUGAAAUCGAGUAGGUCGGGACACGUGUUAUCCUGACUGAACAUGGGGGGACCAUCCUCCAAGGCUAAAUACUCCCAGUUGACCGAUAGUGAACCAGUACCGUGAGGGAAAGGCGAAAAGAACCCCUGUGAGGGGAGUGAAAUAGAUCCUGAAACCGUGUACGUACAAGCAGUGGGAGCCCCUUCGUGGGGUGACUGCGUACCUUUUGUAUAAUGGGUCAGCGACUUACAUUAUGUGGCGAGGUUAACCGAAUAGGGGAGCCGUAGCGAAAGCGAGUCUUAACUGGGCGUCCAGUCGCAUGAUGUAGACCCGAAACCCGGCGAUCUAUCCAUGAGCAGGUUGAAGGUUGAGUAACAUCAACUGGAGGACCGAACCCACUAAUUUGAAAAAUUAGGGGAUGACUUGUGGAUCGGAGUGAAAGGCUAAUCAAGCCGGGAGAUAGCUGGUUCUCCUCGAAAGCUAUUUAGGUAGCGCCUCGGACGAAUACCACUGGGGGUAGAGCACUGUUUGGGCUAGGGGGUCAUCCCGACUUACCAACCCCAUGCAAACUCCGAAUACCAGUGAGUACUAUCCGGGAGACACACGGCGGGUGCUAACGUCCGUCGUGGAAAGGGAAACAACCCAGACCGUCAGCUAAGGUCCCAAAAUCCAUGUUAAGUGGGAAACGAUGUGGGAAGGCUCAGACAGCUAGGAGGUUGGCUUAGAAGCAGCCACCCUUUAAAGAAAGCGUAAUAGCUCACUAGUCGAGUCGGCCUGCGCGGAAGAUAUAACGGGGCUCAAACAUGGUACCGAAGCUACGGACUUGUGCUUGCACAAGUGGUAGAGGAGCGUUCUGUAAGCCGUUGAAGGUGGAUUGAGAAGUCUGCUGGAGGUAUCAGAAGUGCGAAUGCUGACAUGAGUAACGAUAAUGCGAGUGAAAAACUCGCACGCCGAAAGACCAAGGGUUCCUGUCCAACGUUAAUCGGGGCAGGGUGAGUCGGCCCCUAAGGCGAGGCUGAAAAGCGUAGUCGAUGGGAAACGGGUUAAUAUUCCCGUACUUGGGUGUACUGCGAUGGGGGGACGGAGAAGGCUAGGCCAUCCGGGCGUUGGUUGUCCCGGUUCAAGCAAGUAGGCUGAGAUCUUAGGAAAAUCCGGGAUCUUAAGGCUGAGAUGCGAUGACGGUGAGACUACGGUCUCCGAAGUGGUUGAUGCCCAGCUUCCAGGAAAAGCCUCUAAGCUUCAGGUACACCGAAACCGUACCCGAAACCGACACAGGUGGUCAGGUAGAGAAUACCAAGGUGAUCGAGCGAACUAUGGUUAAGGAACUCGGCAAAAUACCCCCGUAACUUCGGGAGAAGGGGGGCCGAGG